GUAUGCUCAGGAGAUACCAGGUAGAGGGCCAUGUCCCCUGCUACAGAGGAACCUCUACUCUAUACUAUACAUUCUGGUACUCCACAGUUCUUGACCAUGUACUUUGUGUUCCUAUCUGUAGUAGGCUGGCUGUCCUCAGGAUCAGUAAGACUGACACAGACGUCCCCCCCUCCCCAGGUCUGGGGGCUUCUACUUUCCCUGAAAACAACUACUGUACCUUAAAGGCUCUUGCAUGGUGAUCUUUAUGCAUAUGAUUUAGCCCCUUCUCCUGAUUUCUCUUCAAACUUCUGACUCUGUGGAAUCCAGCUGGCUUAGACAGCUGUUCUCCCUUCCCUCACCAAUAUCCAUCAAUGAACAGAACCUGCAGCUGCCUGAAAGUUUCAAGCAUCCCUGAAGACUUUUGGAUAAUUAAGGUCCUCUACUGCAUGUCAAAGCCACAGCUUACACAUUACCAAGCCAUAAUGUCUGAUCAGUGAAGUGAUCUAUUAAGGAUGGGAAGAUAAUGCUUCAUCAGAAACAACACUGGAAGCUGAAAUGGAAGAAGCCAUUGGGGAACAUGACAGUGAGCCAUCUCACAAAUUCUCAGUGAAGCCUAGGCAUAUAUUCAGACCGUCAGAUCUUAAUAGAACAUAAUGUACUCCAGAAAGGAUGCAGAGCAUGCAGCAGGAGCAUAUGUAAAUACCAAAUCAGAGGUCAUAGGUGGAGAUAGAAAAUAUUAUUUGAUGGAGCAGAGCACCGCCCGCUCCCCCACCCCGC
This is a long non-coding RNA of Gavialis gangeticus (Gharial), 756 nucleotides long. RefSeq lists it as uncharacterized. The record is from RefSeq and is a predicted model, not a curated record. Lineage: Eukaryota; Metazoa; Chordata; Crocodylia; Gavialidae. The transcript has 3 exons.